GGGGUGCUUUAGGAGUGCAAGGAAAUGCAGCUACAAACCCACUGAGCUAUCAGUGCUGUCUGCAUGCUUCUAUGCUGCAAAAUACAACUGAGCAAGUUAAAUUCCACUUCCCUUGAACACGGAAGCCAGCAGUGCAUUUGUCACAUGGUCACAUCAGCAGACCACAACAACAAGAGCAAUCACCUGGUGAAACAAUCCACACAGAGAUUUGGAAGGAAAAUUUCUUUCAGGCAGGUGACACUGGACAUCUGGCAGUCCUCUGCUUCUGUUCUGAGAGUAACACCCACGUUGUAGGGCAUGCUGCCAGAAGCUGCACCCACCUGGGAUAUAGCCAGCCCAAGAUGAAAAGGAGCACCAAAUCCAGAAGGGGUGAUUAGCAUUCACUGAUGUUGUUCAGGACACAAGUAACUGGGAACAUGCUAGUUCCCCUUAGGUGUUCAGUACUGCACGGAAAAGUCAGGGAACUAAGAAAGUUAAUCAGGUCAGAGCCAGGCUUGCAUAUGCUUUCUCCACAGGAAUUACAAACUAUUUGCCAAAUAUUCGGAUUGGGUAAUUGCUACCCGGACUACUAAGGAUAUGCAGCCCAAAAGAAGAUAAUUGCUCAGAGGUUCUGAUAGAUUGCAUCACUCUCGGCCAAAAUAUAUGACAGAAUGAGAAUUAUCAGCACAUAAUGUAAGGAUACAAGUCUGCUCAUACAGCAGAGCUGAGCCCAUCAUGGCUGGCUGAAGCAGAAAAAACAUUAACCCCCCCCAGACUGUUCAUAAGAAGGCAUUAAUUUGAUCCUGAACUCCAGAAGCAUUUGUGGAAUCCAGAGAUUCCCUGAAAUAACCUUCCCUUUCUUAGGACACAGGGGACAAGCAUUUAUCCCUGCUCUCUCUAAAAUGUAAAUUUGACCAAAGCUAAUUUUACCCCAGUGUCUAGCUAUGAGAUCAUUGUUCUGCCAGCAUACAAGUUUAGUCUCACACUGCCACAUAUUUUAUGACCAAAUGCAACUUGGAGCAGAGCCUGUACAGUCCAUCAUGGAUGCUGCUGUGUGAUAAAAAAAAA
This 1047-nucleotide long non-coding RNA is filed under the name Cyanistes caeruleus (blue tit). Its description in RNAcentral is "lncRNA (ENSCCEG00000008666.1)". The record is from RNAcentral. Lineage: Eukaryota; Metazoa; Chordata; Aves; Passeriformes; Paridae.